Molecule: ribosomal RNA, 404 nt
Filed under: uncultured bacterium
Lineage: Bacteria
Description: partial 16S ribosomal RNA
Rfam family: Bacterial small subunit ribosomal RNA
Source: RNAcentral
GAUGAACGCUGACAGAGUGCUUAACACAUGCAAGUCAACUGUGGCGGACGGGUGAGUAACGCGUAAAGAACUUGCCUCACAGAUAGGGCCAACAUUUGGAAACGAAUGCUAAUACCUGAUACUGUGAGAGAGCUUUGCGUCCCAUUAGCUAGUUGGAGAGGUAACGGCUCACCAAGGCGAUGAUGGGUAGCCGGCCUGAGAGGGUGAUCGGCCACAAGGGGACUGAGACACGGCCCUUACUCCUACGGGAGGCAGCAGUGGGGAAUAUUGGACAAUGGACCAAAGUCUGAUGAAGCAAUUCGGUGUGCAAGAUGAAGUUUUCGGAAUGAAAAGGGCUUUCAGUUGGGAAGCAGUACCAACAGAAGAAGUGACGGCUAAAUACGUGCCAGCAGCCGCGGUAAUAC